UUCAGCACAUUUUUAUGUUAUCAAACAGGCACUUAAUCUUAUAUAUACUGUCAGUGUAUACACAAUCAUAAUUAGAUAUCUGACACAUGUAUACAAUUUGAAUUUGAAAUUUAAAAUUUGCUCAUAUGUCAUGCAUUCAACCGUGAUAGUGUAUACACUACCAGUGUAUAUAAAAAUUACUCUAAUAUAUUAGUUGGAGAAGUUUAAAUGGCAUAGGUUCAUAAUUAAUUUAUAGCUAUGUGGAUAAGAUUGAUAUGUUUUCUUCUUUUUUUUUAAUCAUUGCAUUCAAACUAUUUUAUCCUUUUUAAUAGGAGUAUUAAAGAAAAUAUUUAGAAAUCCAACAAAAUUGAGUGAAAAAUAGGUUCAAAUUCAAACCAACAAAUGUUAAAAAAAUUAAGAUAAAAUAAGAGCAAAAUUGAAAAAGAACAAAAUGCCAACAGAAAUACGUGCAACCGUGGGUCCAUCUACCAUUAACUCCUAUACGGACAAGAUUUUCAUGCCAACCGUGCCCUUCCAUCUGCCAAUAAUCACAACAGUGCCCUUCCAUCUACCAAUAAUCACAACAGUGCCACUGAUGCUUACUUCUUACUUCCUCUGCAUGCAGACAGCCGCUCUGUCCUCUCCCGAUAAACUCUCCCCUUCCUCGUUGCUGUCACCAUCAAUCGCUCACAAAUUUCAGUGCGUGAUUGUGUGUGAGCUCUUCCGUCGUCUUUUCGAUCAUUUUCAGAAAUAUUCCAUCUAGAAGAACUCAGAAUGAGACAAUGGAAAGCAUGAAAGUUUGCUUUUAACCAAAGACUCAGUUUUAGAUUACUCUCCAACUGUGAAAAUUAGACAGGAGGGGAAUGCCGGCCAAUGACUUGGAUGUAUAAUCUUCAUGCUAUCAAGGUCGAAAUUGACUAAGACUAUGGAUUCUUCUCUCUGGGAUCCACCAAUUUGUGAAGAUGACAGUGCCGAUUUUAAAGGAAAUUGGCAGUCUGAUUUCUCCUCUGGUGUGGGGUGCGAUGUCAUGGAAGAAGAUGCUAUAAAUGAAAGGUGUUGUAUCGAAGUGCUGAAAAAAUUGAUACCUAAGGCUGAUGCCGAGAUAAAGGAACUUGAGGAAGAAAUUAUAUUUCUUCAGGCCCAAGUGGCUUUGGAAGAUGAUGCUUGGGCUAAGAUAUGCUUUGAUACUUUGACAGAGAGGACCAAGGCGCUAGAUAUCUCGAUUCAGAGAUUGAAGAAUGAAAAAGUGCAACAGCAACAAGGACAGGCGUCUAGUUCGCAAACACAUGGAGAUCCUGCUCAGAAUGAAAAACAACAAACAGAAAAUGAACUAAACUUUUGUUUCCAAACAGAUGGAGAUCCUGCUCAGAAUAAAAAACAACAAACAGAAGAUGAAUUGGAUGUUUGUUUUCAAACAGAUGGAGAUCCUGCGAAAAUUGAAAGCCUACAAACAGAGAAGGACCUUGAUUCUCACAUCCAAACAUGUAAGGAACCUUCUCAGAACCAAAAAAUACAAUUGGAACAUGAGAUGCCUGUUCUUUGCCAAACACAUCUAGAACCUGCUCAGAUUGAAAACCUGCAAGCGGAACAUGAGCGGGAUUUUAAUUUCCAAACAAAUGGAGAUCCUGGUCAGGGUGAAACACUACAAAUGGAACAUGAAAUGGGUGUCCCUCACCACAAACAUGGAGAACCUGCUCCGAAACUGAGUGAAAUACUAAAAGCUCUUCUGGAAAAGUACUACUUUCCAAACAGAGAUAAGCAGCUCACCGCUCUCCAGUCCACAGAUGAGACCGGCUUGAGCAAUGCUGAAGCAAUAGCCUGUGUUGCUAAAUCCUUGGAAGAGAUUGCUGAACCUUUUAAUCUGGAAGUUUCAGAGGGUGCGGAAGAGAAAGACCAGAAUGGAGAUACCACAAUCAUCAACUCAUUCCCAAAUCUUUCUGAACAUGCAAGUGAAGCAUCCACCAAGAGAAAAAUGAUGGAGAUUGAUUCAAGCGGAAUACAUGAUUCAACGACCGAGGCAGAGAAGAGGAUGUAUACCCCAGACAAUCAGAAGGUACCUACCAAUCGGUCGUCAAAUUAGGAAUCAAUUAUUAUAAAUGUACAAAUUUUCUUUUGACUUUGCUAAUCUCAUACAACAAACAGGAAGCAACUGCUAUGAUGAUGGAUACCAGUGCGAAUGCCUUGAGCUACAUAGCUGGUUCAAGCAGUGGAACAGUGGGCUGCAAUCUUUCUGAAGAAACAAGCGGGCCGGUCACAGUACAGAAUUUCAGAAUUGAAAGCACUAAGUUGAAGCCAUCUCCAAAUCCCGCCGAAACCACCAUUACAGAAACUGAUAUGAGCAUGUUCCAGCUUUCAGAUAUCACUUCAGUUUGCAUGACUGAUCCUGUAGAACGGAAGGUUGAAAAGGCUGAUAUAAACAACUCGAAAGAAACCGAAUUUCCCCUCCUAAUGAAGCAAGAAGAUUGGAGGCUUUUUGAUUUCGAACGGGCACUUGGAGGAUCAUCUUCAGAGCCAUUGCUGAAGGAGAGACAGGAACCACAACUGUUGAAUCAAACACAUCAUAUUGAAGGAGUUGGAGCAGAACCAUUCACGUCAAACUGCUUGAAGUCAGGGAUUCCCGAACACAGAGACAGGCCCUUCCCCAUGUUUGAGUCGGGACUACUUCCAGAAUCGGCCCUUGGUAUGGAAAUGGAGUACAAACCUCAAGACUCAUAUAGAAUAAUUCUUGAUGAGAAUAAUUCUAUGAACAAAAAAAUAAAAGAGGAGACUCAUAUAGACUUCAGCGGAGAGAAGAGUUGCAAUGUUGUUUCGGCUUGUCAGUCACCGGGGACAAGGCAGAAAUCUGUACUCCCCCCAUUGAUCAAGAAAGGUGAAGAGUUGGGCAAUCUCCAAGUCACUCGGACGAUGCAAGAGGGAAGGCUCAAAGGUUUGUUCAAGGAGGAAAUCGAUCGGAUCUCCAACUUUCCUGCAGCGAAUGAAUUUGGAGUUAAGAAGCCUCUCAAGUUACUCUCUUGUACAACAUCCGUGGCCACAAUGAAUCUCGAGUUUUUGUCGAUGGCUCAACUCAGAGCCAUGGCAAAGGAACGCAACCUCAAAAGGUACUCUAAACUCAACAAAAGUGACUUGAUCAAGCUUCUUAAUUUCCCACCUUCAGCCAUUUAAUUUCCCUUGUGAUUGCAAACAUACUCAGUUACUAUGGAAGUCGCACGUACUUAUCUCUGCUUCGGUUUUUAGCCAUUUUACAGAAAAUGCCAUUAUAAACUUUAAGAAUGUGGAAGUGUGACUCAUCUGGAUAAAAUUUUGAUGAUUUUUGGUACUCUGUUGGUUUCUUUUUGCCGUGGAGCUCGAUAUUUGACCGGGCCAUAAUAUUGCUGGUGAUUUACUUGCUUGGGUAACUGCAUAUGGAUAUUAUUAUUCACGACAGUGCAUUCUUGAUAUAAGGAUUCUGUGAAAUUCCACACUUUUUGUGGUUAUAAUUCGACUGCACGCAGGAGGCAAUUCAGCAGAUAAUGUGGUAGCAACUCCCCCAACUGUUAUCAGCAAAUCUAUUGAGUUGGCUUAUGAUAAGUAGUAGUUGCAAAAGCAACUCUCUUAGUGUUUAGCAGCUACAGAAAAACCAGAGGCAUCACCUUUUCUCUCAGACCGAUCUUCUAAAUUGUUUAGCAGUAUCAGGGAAGUUACAAAGCCAUUACCGUUUUCCCUCAAGGAUUGAUACAGUCAGCACUUGCUCUCCUUUAGCUUUCAGAAAGUAUCAAUCUGAUUCUGGAUGAAUUCCAUGUUACAGCAUAAAGACAAAUUUAGAGAA
Coffea arabica (coffee) is the source of this 3784-nucleotide non-coding RNA. The record is from RefSeq and is a predicted model, not a curated record. Lineage: Eukaryota; Viridiplantae; Streptophyta; Magnoliopsida; Gentianales; Rubiaceae.